CAGUCUCGCUUUGCAGUGGCAACACAGAUGUCAUCCACCACUGGCAGCUCACGUGCCAGUUCAAUGAGCAACACUGCCAAGGCUGACCUCUCCCAGUUCUCAGUCCCUCCACCUAUUUAAGAGCCAAGUAGCUUAAAAUACUGAAAAGCAUUAAUAGAAAUGGGAUAGUCUCUGGAGCGUUUUAGGAUGUGAGCCCAGUUCCAUUGUGGGGACAUUUACUUAAGGAAGACCAAAACCAGUCUUCGUAUUGAAAAAAGAUCUAUGGCAAUACCGGGACAUUGCAUCUCAGAACUUAAAGGCUGUUGUGUCAUUUUGCUAUCUUUAGUGUGAGCAGUAUCCUAGAAGAUGACCUGACUGUUGGCUAAGGGCAUUGGAGACAGCAGCUACCAAGUUGGUGGUCAUUACAUGCUAGAGUGAGAAGCCC
Long non-coding RNA from Colius striatus (speckled mousebird), 424 nucleotides. RefSeq lists it as uncharacterized. The record is from RefSeq and is a predicted model, not a curated record. The transcript is spliced from 3 exons. Lineage: Eukaryota; Metazoa; Chordata; Aves; Coliiformes; Coliidae.